Ochotona princeps (American pika) is the source of this 3497-nucleotide RNA transcript. It is a transcript of the gene named potassium voltage-gated channel subfamily C member 3, with no coding region annotated. The record is from RefSeq and is a predicted model, not a curated record. The transcript is spliced from 6 exons. Lineage: Eukaryota; Metazoa; Chordata; Mammalia; Lagomorpha; Ochotonidae.
AUGCUGAGCUCAGUCUGCGUCUCGUCGUUCCGCGGGCGCCAGGGGGCCAGCAAGCAGCAGCCGGCGCCGCAGCCGCCCGAGUCCCCGCCGCCGCUGCCCGCGCCGCCUCCGCCGCCCGCUCCGCCGCCGCCGCCGCAGCCUGCGCAGCCCGGCCCCGCCGCGUCCCCGGCGGGCCCCCCGCCACCCCGCGGGCCCGGGGGCCGGCGCGCCGAGCCAUGCCCCGGGCUGCCGGCGGCGGCCAUGGGGCGGCACGGCGGCGGCGGUGGCGACAGCGGCAAGAUCGUGAUCAACGUGGGCGGCGUGCGCCAUGAGACGUACCGCUCGACGCUGCGCACCCUCCCGGGGACGCGGCUGGCCGGCCUCACGGAGCCCGAAGCGGCGGCGCGCUUCGAUUACGACCCGGGAGCCGACGAGUUCUUCUUCGACCGGCACCCGGGCGUCUUCGCCUACGUGCUCAACUACUACCGCACCGGCAAGCUGCACUGCCCGGCCGACGUGUGCGGGCCGCUCUUCGAGGAGGAGCUGGGCUUCUGGGGCAUCGACGAGACGGACGUGGAGGCUUGCUGCUGGAUGACCUACCGGCAGCACCGCGACGCCGAGGAGGCGCUCGACUCCUUCGAGGCGCCCGACCCCUCGGGCGCCGCCGGUGCAGCCAACGCGGGCGGCGCCCACGACGCAGGCCUGGACGACGAGGCGGGCGCGGGCGGCGGCGGCCUGGACGGUGCGGGCGGCGAGCUCAAGCGCCUCUGCUUCCAGGAUGCGGGCGGCGGCGCCGGGGGCCCGCCGGGGGGCGCGGGCGGCGCGGGCGGCACGUGGUGGCGCCGCUGGCAGCCGCGCGUGUGGGCGCUCUUCGAGGACCCCUACUCGUCGCGGGCUGCCAGGUAUGUGGCCUUCGCCUCACUCUUCUUCAUCCUCAUCUCCAUCACCACCUUCUGCCUGGAGACCCACGAGGGCUUCCUCCACAUCAGCAACAAGACGGUGACCCAGGCUUCGCCGAUCCCGGGGGCCCCGCCGGAGAACAUCACCAACGUGGAGGUGGAGACGGAGCCCUUCCUGACGUACGUGGAGGGCGUGUGCGUAGUGUGGUUCACCUUCGAGUUCCUCAUGCGCAUCACCUUCUGCCCAGACAAGGUGGAGUUCCUCAAGAGCAGCCUCAACAUCAUCGACUGUGUGGCCAUCCUGCCCUUCUACCUGGAGGUCGGGCUCAGCGGCCUCUCAUCCAAGGCUGCCAAGGACGUGCUGGGCUUCCUGCGCGUCGUGCGCUUUGUGCGCAUUCUACGCAUCUUCAAACUUACGCGCCACUUCGUGGGCCUGCGUGUGCUGGGCCACACGCUCCGGGCCAGCACCAACGAGUUCCUACUGCUCAUCAUCUUCCUGGCCCUGGGCGUGCUCAUCUUCGCCACCAUGAUCUACUACGCCGAGCGCAUCGGUGCAGACCCCGAUGAUAUCCUGGGCUCCAACCACACCUACUUCAAGAACAUCCCCAUCGGCUUCUGGUGGGCUGUGGUCACCAUGACCACCCUGGGCUACGGAGACAUGUACCCCAAGACCUGGUCAGGGAUGCUGGUCGGGGCACUGUGUGCCUUGGCUGGGGUGCUGACCAUCGCCAUGCCCGUGCCCGUCAUCGUCAACAACUUUGGCAUGUACUACUCACUGGCCAUGGCCAAGCAGAAGCUGCCCAAGAAGAAGAACAAACACAUCCCCCGGCCCCCGCAGCCCGGCUCGCCCAACUACUGCAAGCCCGAGCCGCCCCCACCACCCCCGCCCCACCCGCACCACGGCAGCAGCAGUGGCAUCAGCCCGCCACCACCCAUCACCCCACCCUCUGUGGGGAUGACUGUGGCUGGGGCCUACCCACCAGGACCCCACACGCACCCUGGGCUGCUCAGGGGGGGAGCGGGUGGGCUGGGGAUCAUGGGGCUGCCUCCUCUGCCCGCCCCUGGCGAGCCCUGCCCACUGGCUCAGGAAGAAGUCAUUGAGAUCAACCGGGCAGAUCCCCGCCCCAAUGGGGACCCAGCGGCAGCCGCGCUGGCCCACGAGGACUGCCCCGCUAUCGACCAGCCCGCCAUGUCUCCAGAGGACAAGAGCCCCAUCACACCUGGAAGCCGGGGCCGCUACAGCCGCGACCGGGCCUGCUUCCUCCUCACUGACUACGCCCCGUCCCCUGAUGGCUCCAUCCGGAAAGCCACUGGUGCUGCCCCAGUGCCCCCCCUAGACUGGCGUAAGCCAGGCCCCCCAAGCUUCUUGCCCGACCUCAACGCAAACGCCGCGGCCUGGAUAUCCCCCUAGUGGACGAACCCCUUUUCCCCGGGCUCUUGUCACCGCCUGAGAUCUCGGGAGACCCUCGGUCCCCCCCUGCCCCUUCCCCCCAGGUUAUGAGAAGUCCCGCAGUCUGAGCAGCAUCGCGGGCCUCAGUGGGGUGUCCCUGCGCCUUGCGCCUCUGGCCACCCCCCCUGGCUCUCCCAGGGCUGCCCGCCGCGCUCCUCCAACCCUGCCCUCCAUCCUUUAGUGCUCCCCUCCCCCCUGUGGGGGGACUCGGGGGUGACUGGGAAGAAGGUCCAAGGAGCUGGGGGUGGGGGUGGGGGAAAGGGUUUUUUUUUAGAAAAAAAUCAAAAGUCAUUAAUAAUGUGCAACGGAGAUGAAGACGCCAGCAGACACCCCUGGGCCCCUCCCCCCCUUGGGCCCUUCCAGGAUGAAAGGGGAGGAACCAAAGCCCAUCCCCCAACUCCUCCUCCCUUCCAAAAUAAGCCUUCUCAGGUCUCCACAGCCAUAUGAUCCCUCCCAUCCACUUGUGUAAAUAAGGCCAAAUUAUGCCAAUUACAUCUUGAGAAACCUCCACUAUUCUGCAUGCCCUUCCCCUCCCCACCCGACCCCCUCCUCAGCUCCACCUCAGCAAUAAGGCGCCGCCAGCGGCUGCAUGCGCGAGUUAGAGGGAAGGGGGCUUGGAGCCAAGGUCUGCAAAACCACCGGAGGGGCUCCCGGCUUCCGGGGCUUCUGGGGAAGAGGGCGCCCUCACCUCGUGGAGUUGCAGGGGAGCUAGCCUGGCCCCAGUAAAGCUGCCUGCUCAGGGCUGAGCCUGAGGGAGGCAGCCACGUGGCUGUGACAGCUGCUCCCAGCCUCUGCCCCCACCCCCACCAGGGAUCUGCUCCCCUCGGUUCCUGCUGCUGGGACCCAGUUGCGCCCCACACCCCCAGAGUUCCAGGAUGAUCUUGUCCCCAGCACACAAUCUACCCCACCUUCCCACGGCCCCCAUCCCAUUCCCAGGACUGGAGAGCUGCACCCAGAUCCUUUUACACUGAUCCUGGCACUCCACAUCCCUCAAAUCUGCCUCCCACACACCAGCCUGGGACUUCCCCUCCGCUGCCCUGCCCGCCCCCAUUUCCCUGGACUGCAUCCCAGCACUUAAACCUCCAAGACUUGACCCAGCUCUGAGCUCAGUUCCAGCCUUUGGGAUGCUCCAGCCUCCUUCCCAGCCCUGCCUCUUGCGGGGUCCCCUG